GCUGAUGUAGCUCAACUGGUAGAGCAGCUGACUUGUAAUCAGCAGGUUAAGAGUUCAAGUCUCUUCAUCAGCU
Molecule: transfer RNA, 73 nt
Filed under: Synura petersenii
Lineage: Eukaryota; Synurophyceae; Synurales; Mallomonadaceae
Description: tRNA-Thr
Rfam family: tRNA
About the family: Transfer RNA (tRNA) molecules are approximately 80 nucleotides in length. Their secondary structure includes four short double-helical elements and three loops (D, anti-codon, and T loops). Further hydrogen bonds mediate the characteristic L-shaped molecular structure. tRNAs have two regions of fundamental functional importance: the anti-codon, which is responsible for specific mRNA codon recognition, and the 3' end, to which the tRNAs corresponding amino acid is attached (by aminoacyl-tRNA synthetases). tRNAs cope with the degeneracy of the genetic code in two manners: having more than one tRNA (with a specific anti-codon) for a particular amino acid; and 'wobble' base-pairing, i.e. permitting non-standard base-pairing at the 3rd anti-codon position.
Source: RNAcentral